Molecule: non-coding RNA, 98 nt
Organism: Cicer arietinum (chickpea)
Lineage: Eukaryota; Viridiplantae; Streptophyta; Magnoliopsida; Fabales; Fabaceae
Source: RefSeq, a predicted model, not a curated record
AAAUCUGGAGUAAGCUGGGUUGAUAUGCACAUAUUAGCACAUAGAGUGAUUCUGGAGUCACUAAAGAAGGGACACAUUGUUGUGGGCAAUGUUGAUGA